RNAcentral lists this ribosomal RNA (497 nucleotides) under uncultured bacterium. Its description in RNAcentral is "partial 16S ribosomal RNA". It matches the Rfam family "Bacterial small subunit ribosomal RNA", at positions 28 to 507 of the family's 1533-position model. The record is from RNAcentral.
GAUGAACGCUGGCGGCGUGCCUAAUACAUGCAAGUCGAGCGAACAGACGAGGAGCUUGCUCCUCUGACGUUAGCGGCGGACGGGUGAGUAACACGUGGAUAACCUACCUAUAAGACUGGGAUAACUUCGGGAAACCGGAGCUAAUACCGGAUAAUAUAUUGAACCGCAUGGUUCAAUAGUGAAAGACGGUUUUGCUGUCACUUAUAGAUGGAUCCGCGCCGCAUUAGCUAGUUGGUAAGGUAACGGCUUACCAAGGCGACGAUGCGUAGCCGACCUGAGAGGGUGAUCCGCCACACUGGAACUGAGACACGGUCCAGACUCCUACGGGAGGCAGCAGUAGGGAAUCUUGCGCAAUGGGCGAAAGCCUGACGGAGCAACGCCGCGUGAGUGAUGAAGGUCUUCGGAUCGUAAAACUCUGUUAUUAGGGAAGAACAAAUGUGUAAGUAACUCUGCACGUCUUGACGGUACCUAAUCAGAAAGCCACGGCUAACUACGUG